CACCAGGUUGAUUCUGCCUGACGUAGACGCUAUUCCCUAAGAUUAACCCAUGCAUGUUUUUGACAUUUGAAAAAUGGACUGCUCAGUAAUACUCACUUUAUUUAAUGUACAUUUGAAAAUAACUACGUUAAAGUGUAGAUAAGAUGUGUACAGUAAGAGUGAGACCUAUCAGCUAGUUGUUAAGGUAAUGGCUUAACAAGGCAGUGACGGGUAACGGUAUUACUUUGUAAUAUUCCGGAGAAGGAGCCUGAGAGACGGCUACUAAGUCUAAGGAUUGCAGCAGGGGCGAAACUUGACCUAUGAUAUUAUAUUGAGUCAGUUAUGAGUAGUAUUUUAUAAUUAUUGUAGUAUUGUAAGUACAUAUUACAAGAUAAAUCGGAGGGCAAAUCGAGUGCCAGCAGCCGCGGUAAUACUUGUUCCGAUAGUGUGUAUGAUGAUUGAUGCAGUUAAAAAGUCUGUAGUUUAUUUAUAAUAAGCAUUGUAAGGUAUACUGUAUGGUUAGGAGAGAGAUGAAAUGUGAUAACCCUAACUGGAUGAACAGAAGCGAAAGCUGUAUACUUAAAUGUAUUAUUAGAACAAGGACGUAAGCUAGAGGAUCGAAGAUGAUUAGAUACCAUUGUAGUUCUAGCGGUAAACUAUGUUGAAUCAUAGAUAUAUUUUGAUAUAUAUUUAUGUAGAGAAAUUAAGAUUAUAUUGACUCUGGGGAUAGUAUGAUCGCAAGAUUGAAAAUUAAAGAAAUUGACGGAAGAAUACCACAAGGAGUGGAUUGUGCGGCUUAAUUUGACUCAACGCGGGGUAAUUUACCAGGUAUAACAUGAUAUAAUAUUUUAUCAUGAUAGUGGUGCAUGGCCGUUUCCAAUGGAUGCUGUGAAGUAAUGAUUAAUUUCAACAAGAUGUGAGACCCUCAUUUAGACAGAUGUAGUGAUACAUAUGAAGGAGAGGAUUAAAACAGGUCCGUUAUGCCCUAAGAUAAUCUGGGUUGCACGCGCAAUACAAUAAUAUUUGAUAUUAUAAGGGAUAAUAUAAUGUAAGAUAUAUUUGAACAUGGAAUUGCUAGUAAAUUUUAUUUAAUAAGUAGAAUUUGAAUGAGUCCCUGUUCUUUGUACACACCGCCCGU
Molecule: ribosomal RNA, 1117 nt
Filed under: Nosema sp. CFD.F2
Lineage: Eukaryota; Fungi; Microsporidia; Nosematidae
Description: SSU rRNA
Rfam family: Microsporidia small subunit ribosomal RNA
Source: RNAcentral